RNAcentral lists this ribosomal RNA (305 nucleotides) under uncultured bacterium. RNAcentral's name for it is "bacterial SSU rRNA". It matches the Rfam family "Bacterial small subunit ribosomal RNA", at positions 338 to 659 of the family's 1533-position model. The record is from RNAcentral.
CCUACGGGGCGCAGCAGUGGGGAAUAUUGCGCAAUGGGGGAAACCCUGACGCAGCAACGCCGCGUGAGUGAAGACGUAUCUCGGUAUGUAAAGCUCUAUCAGCGGGGAAGAAGGAAGACGGUACCCGACUAAGAAGCCCCGGCUAACUACGUGCCAGCAGCCGCGGUAAUACGUAGGGGGCGAGCGUUAUCCGGAUUUACUGGGUGUAAAGGGAGCGUAGACGGCGUCGCAAGUCUGAAGUGAAAGCCCGUGGCUCAACCGCGGAACCGCUUUGGAAACUGCGUGGCUGGAGUGCUGGAGAGGUA